GCCUUUGGAAAUGCAGAUGAGCCGCCGCCCGGGCCGGGGUUGAACCUUCUGACUCAGCCACCCCCGGCCGCCCGGGCCGCUGGGGGAGGGGCGGCGUCUGGGGUGCUCCCUUUCAGCCCCGGAGCCCGUCUGCUGUGUAUUCGGCCGGUCACAUCUCUCUCCCCCAACGCCCUGAUCCGCCCUCCACCUUCCUCUCCUCCAGGUUCUGGGCCGGAGAAGGGGCGACGUUCGGGCACCCCCCGAAUGGACAAUCUUUCCUUCUGUCAACGGCAGGGGCAGGCCUAGUUUGACUCUGACAGUCCUCCCACUAAGGAAUUCCUGGUGACUGGAAGGGGGAGUGACUCAGGCCCUCAACCUCUAGCAGAGUGCCUUGGCUCCCUCCUGUCGUCCUGGGGAACCUCGGCCCCAGCCCUGCCUCCCCAGCCAGUCACAGCUCCUCCCUGGUCACCCUGAGGGAGCUCAGGGCCCGGCUGGUAGCUGGGUUGCUCUGCUUCUGUCCCCCACUCCUGUGGAGCCUGGCAGGCAACUCCAUGAUCUGACCCCGGUUACCUUGACAGCCCUGCCUGGCCUCCCCUCUCAUGGCCCAGCCACCCCAGAACCUGAAGAGGUUUUCUAGCUGCCGUGCAUUUGCCAGGCUGGGUUACCCACCCUACUUUCCCUGCCUGCCCUCCAGUGCUGCCAGGCCUAGUGUGCCAGCCAGCGCUCAGCCUUCAGUAAAGGGUUCCCCUGCUUCCAACCUCCAUUGCACUGCUUCCCCUAAGACUGUGACCUCCUGGAAGGCUGGAGCACAACUGCCUCUCAAUAAACGUG
This 810-nucleotide long non-coding RNA is filed under the name Homo sapiens (human). RNAcentral describes it as "non-protein coding LINC01089:29". Lineage: Eukaryota; Metazoa; Chordata; Mammalia; Primates; Hominidae. The record is from RNAcentral.